RNAcentral lists this ribosomal RNA (167 nucleotides) under uncultured Ruminococcus sp. Its description in RNAcentral is "partial 16S ribosomal RNA". It matches the Rfam family "Bacterial small subunit ribosomal RNA", at positions 340 to 524 of the family's 1533-position model. The record is from RNAcentral. Lineage: Bacteria; Bacillati; Bacillota; Clostridia; Eubacteriales; Oscillospiraceae.
UACGGGAGGCAGCAGUGGGGAAUAUUGCACAAUGGGGGAAACCCUGAUGCAGCGACGCCGCGUGAGCGAUGAAGUAUUUCGGUAUGUAAAGCUCUAUCAGCAGGGAAGAAAAUGACGGUACUUGACUAAGAAGCACCGGCUAAAUACGUGCCAGCAGCCGCGGUAAU